GCCUCGAUGACGCAGUAGGCAGCGCGUGAGUCUCAUAAUCUCAGGUCGUGAGUUCGAUCCUCACUCAGGACA
This is a non-coding RNA of Ciona savignyi (Pacific transparent sea squirt), 72 nucleotides long. The record is from Rfam. NCBI's taxonomy places the organism in Eukaryota, Metazoa, Chordata, Ascidiacea, Phlebobranchia, Cionidae.